RNAcentral lists this ribosomal RNA (497 nucleotides) under uncultured bacterium. RNAcentral describes it as "partial 16S ribosomal RNA". It matches the Rfam family "Bacterial small subunit ribosomal RNA", at positions 28 to 507 of the family's 1533-position model. The record is from RNAcentral.
GACGAACGCUGGCGGCGUGCCUAAUACAUGCAAGUUGAGCGAUGAAGAUUGGUGCUUGCACCAAGUUGAAGAGCAGCGAACGGGUGAGUAACGCGUGGGGAAUCUGCCUUUGAGCGGGGGACAACAUUUGGAAACGAAUGCUAAUACCGCAUAACAACUUUAAACAUAAGUGUUAAGUUUGAAAGAUGCAAUUGCAUCACUCAAAGAUGAUCCCGCGUUGUAUUAGCUAGUUGGUGAGGUAAAGGCUCACCAAGGCGAUGAUACAUAGCAGACGUGAGAGGGUGAUCGGCCACACUGGGACUGAGACACGGCCCAAACUCCUAGGGGAGGCAGCAGUAGGGAAUCUUCGGCAAUGGGCGGAAGUCUGACCGAGCAACGCCGCGUGAGUGAAGAAGGUUUUCGGAUCGUAAAACUCUGUUGGUAGAGAAGAACGUUGGUGAGAGUGGAAAGCUCAUCAAGUGACGGUAACUACCCAGAAAGGGACGGCUAACUACGUG